GCAGCAAUGGCUGAGUGGUUAGGGUGUUGGACUUAAAAUCCCGUGGGGUUUCCCUGCACAGGUUCAAAUCCUGCUUGCUGCG
This is a non-coding RNA of Chiloscyllium plagiosum (whitespotted bambooshark), 82 nucleotides long. NCBI's taxonomy places the organism in Eukaryota, Metazoa, Chordata, Chondrichthyes, Orectolobiformes, Hemiscylliidae. The record is from the annotation of a RefSeq genome assembly.